This 460-nucleotide ribosomal RNA is filed under the name uncultured bacterium. Its description in RNAcentral is "partial 16S ribosomal RNA". It matches the Rfam family "Bacterial small subunit ribosomal RNA", at positions 338 to 795 of the family's 1533-position model. The record is from RNAcentral.
CCUACGGGGGGCAGCAGUGAGGAAUAUUGGUCAAUGGGCGGGAGCCUGAACCAGCCAAGUCGCGUGAGGGAAGACGGUCCUAUGGAUUGUAAACCUCUUUAGGCGGGGAGCAAUGCCGGGCACGCGUGCCCGGAGGGAGAGUACCCGCAGAAUAAGCAUCGGCUAACUCCGUGCCAGCAGCCGCGGUAAUACGGAGGAUGCGAGCGUUAUCCGGAUUGAUUGGGUUUAAAGGGUGCGUAGGCGGAUUUUUAAGUCAGCGGUAAAAUGUCCGGGCUCAACCCGGGCCGGCCGUUGAAACUGGGGAUCUUGAGUGGGCGAGAAGUAUGCGGAAUGCGUGGUGUAGCGGUGAAAUGCAUAGAUAUCACGCAGAACUCCGAUUGCGAAGGCAGCUUACUAAACUGUGACUGACAUUGAUGCUCGAAAGUGUGGGUAUCGAACAGGAUUAGAUACCCCUGUAGUC